AAGUCGUAACAAGGUUUCCGUAGGUGAACCUGCGGAAGGAUCAUUAACACGUAUCCAACGCAUCUUUAGAGAGCUCUUGUAAGCCCAUUAUGAUAGCAAUCCUGGUAAAUCAGUGGCGAAAGUAGUCUUUGAUUCAGGACCUCUGUCUGGUGAGAACCUAGCGGUAAGCGAGCAAUUGAGCCUUUUAUCGUCAGUCUGGAGUCCUGGCCGGGCGAAUGAAAGUGUCGCUGGACGGUUUCUAGGGUAAGGCUUCGCCAUCACUGGAGGCUCAACACGGGCCGGUGGACAGACUGCAGGGUCCCCAUGCCCCUUUAUGACGACCAAGUUAAAUAAGGCCUCUACCACAUAGCAAGUGCGCCGUGGUAGAGGAAAACGUACAACUGUUAACAAUGGAUAUCUUGGUUCUC
This 407-nucleotide unclassified non-coding RNA is filed under the name fungal sp. Its description in RNAcentral is "partial internal transcribed spacer region". The stretch from base 1 to 46 matches the Rfam family "Eukaryotic small subunit ribosomal RNA", at positions 1786 to 1831 of the family's 1831-position model. The record is from RNAcentral. Lineage: Eukaryota; Fungi.